RNAcentral lists this ribosomal RNA (433 nucleotides) under uncultured bacterium. Its description in RNAcentral is "partial 16S ribosomal RNA". It matches the Rfam family "Bacterial small subunit ribosomal RNA", at positions 29 to 507 of the family's 1533-position model. The record is from RNAcentral.
AACGAACGCUGGCGGCAUGCCUAACACAUGCCAGUCGAACGAGACCUUCGGGUCUAGUGGCGCACGGGUGCGUAACGCGUGGGAACCUGCCCUUAGGUUCGGAAUAACUCCCCGAAAGGGGUGCUAAUACCGGGUAAUGUCUUCGGACCAAAGAUUUAUCGCCUUUGGAUGGGCCCGCGUUGGAUUAGCUAGUUGGUAGGGUAAAAGCCUACCAAGGCGACGAUCCAUAGCUGGUCUGAGAGGAUGAUCAGCCACACUGGGACUGAGACACGGCCCAGACUCCUACGGGAGGCAGCAGUGGGGAAUAUUGGACAAUGGGCGAAAGCCUGAUCCAGCAAUGCCGCGUGAGUGAUGAAGGCCUUAGGGUUGUAAAGCUCUUUUACCCGGGAUGAUAAUGACAGUACCGGGAGAAUAAGCUCCGGCUAACUCCGUG